CAAUCGCGAUAAGUAAUACGAAUUGCAGGUCUCUGUGAAUCAUCGAAACUUCGAACGCACUGCGCCCGGGAGCAAUCUCGGGCACAUUCGGUUGAGUGACAAUUUUAAUUUUUGAUACCCAGUAUCACUGUCGGUGGUUUUUGGUACCCCCAAAAUCCACUCAGAACUUGUACAUUUUUGUCGGCGAGGUUACCUCCCCAUCGGAAACUGGAUUUUUCCAACUUCCAGAUGCUGUGUGACCUUUAGAUUGGAGUACCGAAAGCGGAUAACUUGGGGGUGUGCCUCCCUUCAAAACAUCCGCCGCCAGUGUUUCUAUCGGUCCGACGAAUAAAAGUCUACAACCCACAAAAAGGGGAGUCUCCUGAUUCCCUUUUUUCUCCAAAUUUGUCCUCAACUCGAG
This 400-nucleotide unclassified non-coding RNA is filed under the name uncultured fungus. RNAcentral describes it as "sequence contains ITS1". The stretch from base 1 to 101 matches the Rfam family "5.8S ribosomal RNA", at positions 50 to 154 of the family's 154-position model. The record is from RNAcentral. Lineage: Eukaryota; Fungi.